This 433-nucleotide ribosomal RNA is filed under the name uncultured bacterium. Its description in RNAcentral is "partial 16S ribosomal RNA". It matches the Rfam family "Bacterial small subunit ribosomal RNA", at positions 29 to 507 of the family's 1533-position model. The record is from RNAcentral.
AGCGAACGCUGGCGGCAGGCCUAACACAUGCAAGUCGAACGGAUCCUUCGGGAUUAGUGGCGGACGGGUGAGUAACACGUGGGAACGUGCCCUUUGGUUCGGAACAACUCAGGGAAACUUGAGCUAAUACCGGAUGUGCCCUUCGGGGGCAAGAUUUAUCGCCAUUGGAGCGGCCCGCGUCUGAUUAGCUAGUUGGGGAGGUAACGGCCCACCAAGGCGACGAUCAGUAGCUGGUCUGAGAGGAUGAUCAGCCACACUGGGACUGAGACACGGCCCAGACUCCUACGGGAGGCAGCAGUGGGGAAUCUUGCGCAAUGGGCGAAAGCCUGACGCAGCCAUGCCGCGUGAAUGAUGAAGGUCUUAGGAUUGUAAAAUUCUUUCAGCGGGGACGAUAAUGACGGUACCCGCAGAAGAAGCUCCGGCUAACUUCGUG